UAAGCAUAUCAAUAAGCGGAGGAAAAGAAACCAACAGGGAUUGCCCUAGUAACGGCGAGUGAAGCGGCAAAAGCUCAGAUUUGAAAUCUCUUUGUUUUACAGAGCGAAUUGUAAUCUGGAGAAGGUUGAAUGGCUGAACAUCUGAUUUAAAUUUCUUGGAAUAGAAUAUCAUAGAGGGUGAGAAUCCCGUGAUUAUCAGAAUCUACGCCACUUAAUUCACCUUUCGACGAGUCGAGUUGUUUGGGAAUGCAGCUCUAAAUGGGUGGUAAAUUUCAUCUAAAGCUAAAUACCUGCCAGAGACCGAUAGCGAACAAGUAGAGUGAUCGAAAGAUGAAAAGCACUUUGAAAAGAGAGUUAAAAAGUACGUGAAAUUGUUGAAAGGGAAGCGCUUGCAAUUAGACUUGGUAAAUAGAUUCAGUCAACUUUUUAGUUCGACCUAUUUUCUUUCUACCAGGCCAGCAUCAGUUUGCUGGGAUUUAUAAAGUCAGUCGGAAUGUAGUAACCACUUCGGUGGUCAUGUUAUAGCCUUCUGAGUCAUAAGUUCACAUCAGACUGAGGUCCGCCCUUUGGAAGGAUGCUGGCAUAAUGAUUGUAAGCGACCCGUCUUGAA
This 610-nucleotide ribosomal RNA is filed under the name Aderkomyces sp. MC-2021a. RNAcentral describes it as "partial large subunit ribosomal RNA". It matches the Rfam family "Eukaryotic large subunit ribosomal RNA", at positions 35 to 658 of the family's 3401-position model. The record is from RNAcentral. Lineage: Eukaryota; Fungi; Ascomycota; Lecanoromycetes; Ostropales; Graphidaceae.